RNAcentral lists this long non-coding RNA (1022 nucleotides) under Monodelphis domestica (gray short-tailed opossum). RNAcentral describes it as "lncRNA (ENSMODG00000041628.1)". The record is from RNAcentral. Lineage: Eukaryota; Metazoa; Chordata; Mammalia; Didelphimorphia; Didelphidae.
AUUGAAAUCAUUAUGUACAAAACGUGUCAAGAUAUCUGUGAGGUCUGGAAUUUUCCACAAUGUCUAAACUGAGACAGACAGCCUUAAAACAGAUAUGGUUCAAAGGAAUUGAACUAAAGGGUUACCUAAGCAUGACUUAGACUGGGCUGGUUUCAAUAGUACUAGUCACUGAGAUAAUGGUAGCUGCAGCAAUAGUAGCAGCAGUGGCAGUAUUAAGUAGUGGUGGUAGUAGUAGUAGUAGUAGUAGUAGUAGUAGUAGUAGUAGUGGCAGUAGUGGCAGUAUUAAGUAGUGGUGGUAGUAGUAGUAGUAGUAGUAGUAGUGGUAGUAGUAGUAGUAGUGGUAGUAGUAGUAGUAGUAGUGGUAGUAGUAGUAGUAGUAGUAGUAGUAGUAGUAGUAGUAGUAGUAGUAUAGUAGUAGUAGUAGUGGUAGUAGUAGUAGUAGUAGUAGUAGUAGUAGUGGUAGUGGUAGUGGUAGUAGUGGUAGUGGUAGUAGUAGUGGUAGUAGUGGUAGUGGUAGUGGUAGUAGUAAUAGUAGUAGUAGUAGUAGUAGUAGUGGUAGUAGUGGUAGUAGUAGUAGUAGUAGUAGUGGUAGUGGUAGUGGUAGUAGUAGUAGUAUAGAGCAUUUUUUUUAACCCCUCACCUUCCAUCUUAGAAUCAGUACUGUGUAUUGGUUCCAAGGAAAAGAGUAGUGAGGGCAAGGCAAAUGAGGGUUAAGUGACUUGCUCAGGGUCACACAGUGAGGAAGUGUCUGAACCCAGGACCUCCUAUCCCUAGGCCUGGAUCUCAAUCCACUGAGCCACCCAGCUGCCCCCAUGGAGCAUUUCUUAACAAGUCUUUGGCACUCUUUACCUCUAAAUCACUUUAUAAUGACAUAGAUGUAUGUUUGCUCUGCCAAACAGAAAUUUUAAAAAACAACAGCUCCUCGAGGAAAGGAGGUAUUUCAUAUUUUCCUUUGCACACUGCUGCCUACAAGUACCUUGUACAUAGUCAUUACCCGAUAAAUGUUUGUUAAAUUGAAACUU